RNAcentral lists this ribosomal RNA (325 nucleotides) under uncultured eukaryote. RNAcentral describes it as "partial 18S ribosomal RNA". It matches the Rfam family "Eukaryotic small subunit ribosomal RNA", at positions 1470 to 1796 of the family's 1831-position model. The record is from RNAcentral.
CCCUUAGAUGUUCUGGGCCGCACGCGUGCUACACUGAGUGGAUCAGCGGGUCAGGUUGCGCGAAAGCGUUUCCUAAUCUUUAAAUCCGCUCGUGAUGGGGAUUGACGGUUGCAAUUUUCUGUCAUGAACGAGGAAUACCUUGUAAGCGCGGGUCAUCAUCCCGCGCUGAUUACGUCCCUGCCCUUUGUACACACCGCCCGUCGCUACUACCGAUUGAAUGGUUUAGUGAGAUCUCUGGAUUGACGCUGGCUAGGGGGCGACCCUUGGCCAGACUGUUGAGAAACUGCUCAAACUUGAUCAUUUAGAGGAAGUAAAAGUCGUAACA